Molecule: long non-coding RNA, 308 nt
Filed under: Elaeis guineensis (African oil palm)
Lineage: Eukaryota; Viridiplantae; Streptophyta; Magnoliopsida; Arecales; Arecaceae
Description: long non-coding RNA (EGUI_LNC030895)
Source: RNAcentral
GAUCGGAUGACCACAGAUGGUUCUAAGAUUGAUUUGGACUCGAUAUUCCUAAUGAAACAUUAUUUUGGAGAUUCUAAAGCCUAUAUAGCUCUGAUUGAUAAGGUAUUUAUUGCGUUGGAUAGCUGGUGACAUUCUGAAGGUAUAAAAUGGCUUCAAGAAAGGUUUUAAAGAGCUUUUGUGAGAAUUUUGGAGCUUCUUGUUGAGAGACUCUUAUACAAGGAUUGAGUGGUGAGUUUCUCUUGUAUUGUUAUAUUUUAUUCUGUCAUAGUAAAGCUUGCACACCCCAUGGAGAUAGACUUGAAGUCGAU